RNAcentral lists this non-coding RNA (24 nucleotides) under Arabidopsis thaliana (thale cress). Lineage: Eukaryota; Viridiplantae; Streptophyta; Magnoliopsida; Brassicales; Brassicaceae. The record is from RNAcentral.
CAAAAUAACUGGUCCUCUCUGUAG